Molecule: long non-coding RNA, 993 nt
Organism: Anthonomus grandis grandis
Lineage: Eukaryota; Metazoa; Arthropoda; Insecta; Coleoptera; Curculionidae
Exons: 4
Source: RefSeq, a predicted model, not a curated record
UAUAUUUUUUAUUGGAAACACUGAAAAUGUUCAGAGUAACCAACAUCAGAAGGACACAGCCACUAUAAAAAUGGCGGCCACCAGGCAGUGGUCAUUUUUGGGUAUGGGAGCCAUAUGCAAUAGCAGUCCAAGUAAAUUUAUAAAGUUCGUGACUCCACCCAACUCAACUCAACUUAAUAUUGGUAAAAUUUGUUACAAUGUACGCAGCUUAACGAUCUUGACCGUUGUGGAUAUACCAGGUGUUUUCCGACGACUGGAAAUAAUUUCGGUGGAUUGAGCGGCGAGCAAACUUCGCGACAUUUCUGGAGACACAACAUGUGAAUGGAACAAUCUAGCUAGUAUUUAAGGAGCCCUCGCCGCUAGGAGGCCAGUUCAAAGAUAAAUAAUGGCGCGACUUUUAAAUAAAAAAAAUAUUAGAAACUAAAAAUUGAUUCUUGGAAUAAAAAAGAAAAAAAAUGUUUUACCGACUCGUAGACGAAAGAAAGGUGAAGGUAGAGUGCAGAAUGAAAAAAAGAAGAAAUAGUGGUAAAAAAUACUUAAGCAGUAAGAAUACUGAAGUAAACGCAAAGAACGAACCGAGUAUCGAGGUUUUGUGCAAAUGUAAAUUUUAUUGUAAAAAAAUUCCACAUGAACAAGAAAAAUGUUUACAAAUUAAAGGACUAUGUUAAGCAGAAUUCAUAUCUAAUGAAGGAAUGGGAACUAUGGUGAUCCUGCGAAUAGUAAGCGGACUAUACACUUCACAUUACCUACUGGAAAAGAUGACAUUUUGCAAGCGUGUAGAAAAACUUUUUUUAAAAUUUAUGGAAUUACGAAAAGAAGAGUUGAAACUAUUGUGAAAGCAAAAAAGUGGAGAUUAUACUUUAACUGAGAAAAGGGGAAACAAAAAGAUAAAUAGAAAGUUUUUGAGAGAUGAUGAAAACGCUCUGACAUAUUUAGUACUUGUGAUCUUCUACAUCAUAAAAUAACAAUUUAUUAUCCUGAUAAUAAAAAAGU